This 597-nucleotide long non-coding RNA is filed under the name Homo sapiens (human). Its description in RNAcentral is "HSALNT0385535". The record is from RNAcentral. Lineage: Eukaryota; Metazoa; Chordata; Mammalia; Primates; Hominidae.
CCAGAAAUGAGACCCCCAAUCCCACAUAUUUACCCACUCCAAGUAGAACAGUCAACAGCUCCUGUGAGUUGGGUCCAAGUACAUGAGUCACAAUCUCAACAGCGGAAUGCAUCCUCAUGUGAGAGCCCCAAUCCCUUCUGCAAGUUGUGUCCUGUCUCUCCAACAGGUAUAAGACAUCAUCCAGCCACUUGUCCAGGGAGCACAUCCCAAUCCAGUUCCUGACCAGACAGGGAUCUGCCACUCUUUCCAGCUGGGUGACCUGGUAUAUGUUAAAAAGUUCCAGAAGGAAGGACUCACUCCUGCCUGGAAAGGACCUCAUACUGUUAUCCUCACCAUGCCAAAAGCUCUGAAAGUAGACAGCAUUCCUGCUUGGAUUCAUCACCCUCACAUCAAGAAGACCAACAAAGCCCAGCAAGAAACAUGGGUCCCCAAGCCUGGGACAGGCCCCUUAAAACUGUGUCUAAGUCGACUGAAGCCAUUAAAUUAAUUCUUUACCUCUUUUGUUUGUUUCAGCCUGUCAUGCCUUCUGCUCCUUCCUACUCUUUUCUCCUUACUUCUUUCACGACAGGACGUGUGUUUGCAAACACCACCUGGAAG